RNAcentral lists this ribosomal RNA (508 nucleotides) under uncultured bacterium. Its description in RNAcentral is "partial 16S ribosomal RNA". The stretch from base 20 to 327 matches the Rfam family "Bacterial small subunit ribosomal RNA", at positions 47 to 358 of the family's 1533-position model. The record is from RNAcentral.
GACGAACGCUGGCGGCGUGCUUAACACAUGCAAGUCGAACGGAAAGGCCCUGCUUUUGUGGGGUGCUCGAGUGGCGAACGGGUGAGUAACACGUGAGUAACCUGCCCUUGACUUUGGGAUAACUUCAGGAAACUGGGGCUAAUACCGGAUAGGAGCUCCUGCUGCAUGGUGGGGGUUGGAAAGUUUCGGCGGUUGGGGAUGGACUCGCGGCUUAUCAGCUUGUUGGUGGGGUAGUGGCUUACCAAGGCUUUGACGGGUAGCCGGCCUGAGAGGGUGACCGGACACAGAGGGAGUGGGAUGCCGCACCACUGCGGGGGGGGGGGGGAGGGGGAGAAGAGUGAAAACGGGGGGGAGGCGGGAUGCAGGAGCGGGGCGGGGGGGAUGGGGGCCGGAGGGUUGUAGUCAGCUUUCGGGGGGGAGGGAGGGGGGGUGAGGGUGGGGGGAAAAGAAGGAGCGGAUAACGACGGGCGGGGCGCGGGGGUGAUGGGAGAGGAGACCAGGCACGACC